This 549-nucleotide ribosomal RNA is filed under the name fungal sp. HL0428S. RNAcentral's name for it is "eukaryotic LSU rRNA". The stretch from base 171 to 324 matches the Rfam family "5.8S ribosomal RNA". The record is from RNAcentral. Lineage: Eukaryota; Fungi.
ACUAACGUAGGAGCAGUAGGUGCUGCUCGCUCUAUGCAUAUACAGCCGUACUGAAUUAUUCACCCUUGUCUUUUGCGUACUUCUUGUUUCCUUGGUGGGUUCGCCCACCACUAGGACAAACAUAAACCUUUUGUAAUUGCAAUCAGCGUCAGUAACAAAUUAAUAAUUACAACUUUCAACAACGGAUCUCUUGGUUCUGGCAUCGAUGAAGAACGCAGCGAAAUGCGAUAAGUAGUGUGAAUUGCAGAAUUCAGUGAAUCAUCGAAUCUUUGAACGCACAUUGCGCCCUUUGGUAUUCCAAAGGGCAUGCCUGUUCGAGCGUCAUUUGUACCCUCAAGCUUUGCUUGGUGUUGGGCGUCUUGUCUCUAGCUUUGCUGGAGACUCGCCUUAAAGUAAUUGGCAGCCGGCCUACUGGUUUCGGAGCGCAGCACAAGUCGCACUCUCUAUCAGCAAAGGUCUAGCAUCCAUUAAGCCUUUUUUUCAACUUUUGACCUCGGAUCAGGUAGGGAUACCCGCUGAACUUAAGCAUAUCAAUAAGCGGAGGAAAAA